GCACUGCUGAGGAGUUGCACAAUAGGACGGAACGACCGUCCAGUGC
Schistosoma mansoni is the source of this 46-nucleotide non-coding RNA. The record is from Rfam. NCBI's taxonomy places the organism in Eukaryota, Metazoa, Platyhelminthes, Trematoda, Strigeidida, Schistosomatidae.